RNAcentral lists this ribosomal RNA (253 nucleotides) under uncultured bacterium. RNAcentral describes it as "partial 16S ribosomal RNA". It matches the Rfam family "Bacterial small subunit ribosomal RNA", at positions 524 to 776 of the family's 1533-position model. The record is from RNAcentral.
UACGUAGGGUGCGAGCGUUGUCCGGAAUUACUGGGCGUAAAGAGCUCGUAGGUGGUUUGUCGCGUUGUUCGUGAAAACUCACGGCUUAACUGUGAGCGUGCGGGCGAUACGGGCAGACUGGAGUACUGCAGGGGAGACUGGAAUUCCUGGUGUAGCGGUGGAAUGCGCAGAUAUCAGGAGGAACACCGGUGGCGAAGGCGGGUCUCUGGGCAGUAACUGACGCUGAGGUGCGAAAGCGUGGGGAGCAAACAGG